ACCAUGGAUCUUGUCAGCAUGAGCAUGGAUCUUGUCAGGAAAGAAUCUCAAACAAGUCCUCCUAGCACUCCCGGUAAAUCCCUCAGGAAGGGAGUAGCGGUGAUACGGGGAGUGCAAAUGGCUCUGGCAUGGAGGAGGUUAGGUCUUCUACAACCAGAACUCGGAGAGGAGGAAAUGGAGCGACGAGUGUCAUGCUGGAACUCGCUCAGUCUGGAGUCAGCAAUGAAUAUCUACAAACCUGGAGAUCCUUAUGACCCAUCAGGCAGCAAGCGUCGUCGGCCUAACACGACUAUAGAAAAACUGCCAGAUAAAGUCUUGCUGCAUAUAUUCUCGUACUUAAGUCACCGAGAGAUCUGUCGCCUGGCUCGGGUGUGCAAGAAGUGGCGAAUGAUUGCUUACGACACGAGGCUGUGGAAGAACGUCUCUCUACGGCCGGAGAUCUCUGGGCUACAUGUCGGCUCCCUGGAAUCACUACUCGCACUCAUCAGUAUUCGGUUUGGACCGUCCCUGCGCUACAUUGAGCUGCCUAUUGAGCUUAUCACUCACACAGUGUUGCAUGAGCUGGCCAACAAGUGCCCCAACCUUACUCAUAUGUUACUUGACUUCUCCACAGCCAUGCAACUGCACGACUUUAGCGAAAUGCAGGCAUUUCCCACCAAGUUGCGGUACUUGUGUAUCUGCCUGUCUGAGGUCAUCUUCAUGGAAGGUUUCAUGAGAAAAAUAUACAAUUUUAUAAAUGGACUUGAAAUUUUACAUCUAAUAGGCACUUAUGAGAAAGUAGAGGAAGAGGAAGAGGAGAUUUAUGAAGUUAUCAAUGUUCACAAGCUGAAGUCAGCCACACCAAACCUCCGUGUGAUCAACCUCUACGGCAUAAACUUUAUUGAUGACAGCCACAUAGACGCUUUCAGUUCUAACUGCAUACAGCUCGAGUGUUUGGCUGUCAACUACUGCAACAAAGUGACAGGUUCCACAAUGAAGACCUUGUUCCAGAGGAGCAGAAGACUCAAAUGUCUUCUCAUGAAUCAGACCAAUCUGAAGAGUGAGUUUGUGAUGCAAGUAGAGUGGGAGAAAUCCUCAGUCCAGGAGCUCGACAUCACAGCCACGGACCUCAGCACUGAGUGUCUCAUAGACAUGCUCACCCGCAUCCCCUCCCUGCGCUUCCUCAGUGCCGGGCAGAUCAACGGCUUCAACGACUCGGUACUAAAAGCGUUUAUGGAGCAGGGGAAUCCCAAAAACCUGAUAUCUCUAGACUUGGACAGUUCUGACAACCUGACUGACGACGGACUUCAUCGCUUCCUCUCCCGCUACGGACAUCAGUUGCAAGGCCUCAGUCUCUCAGGCAUGAGUCACAUCACAGACCAGUUGUGGCAGUCAGUACUGCCAAUCCUCAACAACUCCCAGAUCAUCAUCAUGGGCACAUCAGAGCGGCUGGGUGUCAACAUUCAUGUAGAUCAGUUGAUGGAUGGCAUUGCCAACAACUGCCCCAACCUGGAACGUCUUGAGCUCAAGUGGGAUCCAGAGAAUCUCCGUUUCUCAGACAAGAGUCAGAAGGCCAUUGACAUACUUCGUGUCAAGUGCCUCAAACUCCGCUGCCUAACUCUCAGUGAUGGCAGGUACUAUGAGAUUGUGAAGGCCAACUUUGAGCGAGCAGAUCGCACCACAGUAGUCAGAACUACCACCAGUUGUAGAGUAUCUACUUACUACUUACUUUCCAACUACAAAGACCUUAUAUUCAACUAAUUACCGAUCAAAUCUCUGAACCAACUUGAUGUGGAUGUAACAAUAAGUCUGGAUUCUAUUUGAAUUUCAAAAAAGACUUUGUUGUGGCAUUCAAAAUAAUCUAAUUGAUGAGAGGAAUUCCUUGUUUUCCAAGGUUUAAUGUGUAAUAAAAAACUUUAAAAAAUUGUAUGUGAAAAGUUGGAAUAUUAACUUUUAGCAUAAUAGGAUGGUUUGUAAAAGUUAUAAAAACUGUAUCCAGAUAAGAAUUAAAAUAUUUUUUACCAAAGUUUCUAAUGAAACUAUUCUUUAUUCUUUAAAUAAAUAAACGCUCCUUUAACACUAUACGUAUGGUAAAUUCUUUUAGUUGUAUUAAGAAGCGCAAGAGAGAUUUCACACUACCUACACGUUUUACAGCGAUGGCAGAAAACUUUGCCAUCUUGCAGCUCUCCACUACCACUGAACCAGGCAGUUGUUGCACUGUGAUGCAUGUACUCACGCAGGUUUUAUUGUUGAACAGGAGCUUACCGGCCAAAGAAAAUAGAUCAGCUGUUGCACUGUUAAUUGUUUAAUCUGGCUUGUCAAUUGACACAGUCUAUGUUCAUUAUGAAGUUUGAAACACAAUGAGAAAGAACUUAGCUGUAUGGUUUUCAUCAGCCAGCAAAAACCAUAAUAGUGUGAGAGGAGCGUAACGGUGUAUGUUCUCAGUGGUAAUACAAUUUUUUAUUCUAGUAUUCAUUUUAUACUCUUACUCAAUGUUAUUACUAAUAUUGUUUGCAUUUUUCUGUCUGACAAUACUGACUGUUAUCAUUACAAUCGUUACAAAGACAAAAAGUAUUACUUUUAAUUUUAUCAUUGUUAUUUUAUGGUUUUUGUUUUUGGUUUUUACAUCAAGAAACUUUAUUUGUUUAUCCCCCUCCUCUUAUCUAUUUGCAAAUUUAUCAAUUUCUUAUAGACUUGUAUAAGCCAUGUAAUUUUAUAUCAGAAGUGCCUUAUAUAACAGUUAUAACAGUGCCUUAUACAACAGUUAUAACAGUACAUUUAUAACAGUUAAGACACUAAAAUAACUGAAUGAAUUUUAAAUUGCAGGAUGAUAGAACUUUUUUCGUAGGUAUGUAAAUCUAUUUAAAAAUUCUGUUGGGCCAAUAAAUAUUGAAUUUGAAUAAUUCAUUGUUUUAAACCUUGAAUUAUAUGUUACACUGCCAUAUUUCCAGAACUCUUUUACUACAAAUGUUUAAAAUAUAAAUGUGCUGCAAUUUUAAACUUUAAAUUUUGUUAGUCUUUUUGUUAUGUUGCCGGUAUGUUUGUGAUAGUCUACUUCUGUAAAUAUUUUUUUAAAUGAGAUUUGCUUUAUUUGCUUGGAGUUUUAGGACGAGUUUGUAAUUCAGCUUAUUUGUGUUGGUACCUCUGAGUUUUAGAGUGACCACUCUAUGUUGAAAAGCUUUAAGUGACAAGCCUUAAAAGGUUUUAGGAAGCAUUUUAUGUUACAUAAGUUACAAAAUAGACCAUUUUUCUCAAAUAUGUAGCUUUGUAGGUAUUUUGUUUUAUACUUAUUUGUCAAAUGAAUUCCUAACUUCGGCAUUUGGAAAUUAUCAAAAUCAUUACAAGAAAAAAUGUGUCAUGAACUAAAUUGCAUGAAUUAUGAUCGUGUUCAAUUUAAAUUUUUUUUUAUCAAUUUACUCUUUUUAUAAUUGUUAUAAAUUUGAGUAGCAUAAUUGUCUAUUGUGAUACUGUAGCUAUAAUUUUUAAAUUUCUUGUAAGCCUAUAUAGAUUUAUAUGUAUUUUCCAAAAAUAUUGGAAGUAACUAUAUGGUCAAACAGGCAUUAAAAUUUAAAAUGUUCAUAACUGUUUUUUAAAAUAAAAUAUUGUUAAAUGAC
This is an RNA transcript of Macrosteles quadrilineatus (aster leafhopper), 3593 nucleotides long. It is a transcript of the gene named F-box/LRR-repeat protein 2, with no coding region annotated. Lineage: Eukaryota; Metazoa; Arthropoda; Insecta; Hemiptera; Cicadellidae. The record is from RefSeq and is a predicted model, not a curated record. The transcript is spliced from 13 exons.